AGUGAACGCUGGCGGUAGGCCUAACACAUGCAAGUCGAACGGCAGCACAGUAAGAGCUUGCUCUUACGGGUGGCGAGUGGCGGACGGGUGAGGAAUACAUCGGAAUCUACUUUUUCGUGGGGGAUAACGUAGGGAAACUUACGCUAAUACCGCAUACGACCUACGGGUGAAAGCAGGGGAUCUUCGUACCUUGCGCGAUUGAAUGAGCCGAUGUCGGAUUAGCUAGUUGGCGGGGUAAAGGCCCACCAAGGCGACGAUCCGUAGCUGGUCUGAGAGGAUGAUCAGCCACACUGGAACUGAGACACGGUCCAGACUCCUGCGGGAGGCAGCAGUGGGGAAUAUUGGGCAAUGGGCGCAAGCCUGAUCCAGCCAUACCGCGUGGGUGAAGAAGGCCUUCGGGUUGUAAAGCCCUUUUGUUGGGAAAGAAAAGCAGCAGGUUAAUACCCCGCUGUUCUGACGGUACCCAAAGAAUAAGCACCGGCUAACUUCGUG
This 492-nucleotide ribosomal RNA is filed under the name uncultured bacterium. RNAcentral describes it as "partial 16S ribosomal RNA". It matches the Rfam family "Bacterial small subunit ribosomal RNA", at positions 29 to 507 of the family's 1533-position model. The record is from RNAcentral.